Molecule: ribosomal RNA, 574 nt
Filed under: Staphylococcus aureus
Lineage: Bacteria; Bacillati; Bacillota; Bacilli; Caryophanales; Staphylococcaceae
Description: bacterial LSU rRNA
Rfam family: Bacterial large subunit ribosomal RNA
Source: RNAcentral
GUAAAGGCAUAAGGGAGCUUGACUGCGAGACCUACAAGUCGAGCAGGGUCGAAAGACGGACUUAGUGAUCCGGUGGUUCCGCAUGGAAGGGCCAUCGCUCAACGGAUAAAAGCUACCCCGGGGAUAACAGGCUUAUCUCCCCCAAGAGUUCACAUCGACGGGGAGGUUUGGCACCUCGAUGUCGGCUCAUCGCAUCCUGGGGCUGUAGUCGGUCCCAAGGGUUGGGCUGUUCGCCCAUUAAAGCGGUACGCGAGCUGGGUUCAGAACGUCGUGAGACAGUUCGGUCCCUAUCCGUCGUGGGCGUAGGAAAUUUGAGAGGAGCUGUCCUUAGUACGAGAGGACCGGGAUGGACAUACCUCUGGUGUACCAGUUGUCGUGCCAACGGCAUAGCUGGGUAGCUAUGUGUGGACGGGAUAAGUGCUGAAAGCAUCUAAGCAUGAAGCCCCCCUCAAGAUGAGAUUUCCCAACUUCGGUUAUAAGAUCCCUCAAAGAUGAUGAGGUUAAUAGGUUCGAGGUGGAAGCAUGGUGACAUGUGGAGCUGACGAAUACUAAUCGAUCGAAGACUUAAUCAAAA